GGACGUUUAGCUCAGUUGGUUAGAGCAUCCGGCUCAUAACCGGACGGUCCCGGGUUCGAGUCCCCGAACGUCCACUA
RNAcentral lists this transfer RNA (77 nucleotides) under Lachnospiraceae bacterium. RNAcentral describes it as "tRNA-Met". It matches the Rfam family "tRNA". From Rfam's summary of the family: Transfer RNA (tRNA) molecules are approximately 80 nucleotides in length. Their secondary structure includes four short double-helical elements and three loops (D, anti-codon, and T loops). Further hydrogen bonds mediate the characteristic L-shaped molecular structure. tRNAs have two regions of fundamental functional importance: the anti-codon, which is responsible for specific mRNA codon recognition, and the 3' end, to which the tRNAs corresponding amino acid is attached (by aminoacyl-tRNA synthetases). tRNAs cope with the degeneracy of the genetic code in two manners: having more than one tRNA (with a specific anti-codon) for a particular amino acid; and 'wobble' base-pairing, i.e. permitting non-standard base-pairing at the 3rd anti-codon position. The record is from RNAcentral. Lineage: Bacteria; Bacillati; Bacillota; Clostridia; Lachnospirales; Lachnospiraceae.